GGAACCGUCGCAUAGCGGUCGAGUGCGCGCGCUUGGAAAGCGCGUAGGCCGAAAGGUCUCGAGAGUUCGAAUCUCUCCGGUUCCGCCA
This 88-nucleotide transfer RNA is filed under the name Candidatus Zambryskibacteria bacterium RIFCSPHIGHO2_02_38_10.5. RNAcentral describes it as "tRNA-Ser". It matches the Rfam family "tRNA". Rfam says of the family: Transfer RNA (tRNA) molecules are approximately 80 nucleotides in length. Their secondary structure includes four short double-helical elements and three loops (D, anti-codon, and T loops). Lineage: Bacteria; Candidatus Zambryskiibacteriota. The record is from RNAcentral. RNAcentral also lists the same sequence under 4 other names.